This 508-nucleotide ribosomal RNA is filed under the name bacterium enrichment culture clone SC-1_61. Its description in RNAcentral is "bacterial SSU rRNA". It matches the Rfam family "Bacterial small subunit ribosomal RNA", at positions 1 to 559 of the family's 1533-position model. The record is from RNAcentral.
UAGAGUUUGAUCCUGGCUCAGAGCGAACGCUGGCGGCAGGCUUAACACAUGCAAGUCGAGCGGGCAUAGCAAUAUGUCAGCGGCAGACGGGUGAGUAACGCGUGGGAACGUACCUUUUGGUUCGGAACAACUGAGGGAAACUUCAGCUAAUACCGGAUAAGCCCUUACGGGGAAAGAUUUAUCGCCGAAAGAUCGGCCCGCGUCUGAUUAGCUAGUUGGUGAGGUAAUGGCUCACCAAGGCGACGAUCAGUAGCUGGUCUGAGAGGAUGAUCAGCCACAUUGGGACUGAGACACGGCCCAAACUCCUACGGGAGGCAGCAGUGGGGAAUAUUGGACAAUGGGCGCAAGCCUGAUCCAGCCAUGCCGCGUGAGUGAUGAAGGCCCUAGGGUUGUAAAGCUCUUUUGUGCGGGAAGAUAAUGACGGUACCGCAAGAAUAAGCCCCGGCUAACUUCGUGCCAGCAGCCGCGGUAAUACGAAGGGGGCUAGCGUUGCUCGGAAUUACUGGGC